AUUUCGGGGAACUCGGCGUGCUUUACACGUGCAAAACGAACGAUGAAGCUGGAGCUUGCUCCGGUGGAUUAGUGGCGAACGGGUGAGUAACACGUGAGAAAUCUGCCCCUGACUCUGGGAUAACUGCGGGAAACUGUAGCUAAUACCGGAUACUUUCCCUGGUGGGCAUCCACUGGGGAAGAAAGAAUUUCGGUCAGGGAGGAUCUCGCGGCCUAUCAGCUAGUUGGUGAGGUAACGGCUCACCAAGGCGACGACGGGUAACCGGCCUGAGAGGGUGACCGGUCACACUGGGACUGAGACACGGCCCAGACUCCUACGGGAGGCAGCAGUGGGGAAUAUUGCACAAUGGGCGCAAGCCUGAUGCAGCAACGCCGCGUGAGGGAUGAAGGCCUUCGGGUUGUAAACCUCUU
Molecule: ribosomal RNA, 410 nt
Filed under: uncultured Actinomycetes bacterium
Lineage: Bacteria; Bacillati; Actinomycetota; Actinomycetes
Description: bacterial SSU rRNA
Rfam family: Bacterial small subunit ribosomal RNA
Source: RNAcentral